Molecule: long non-coding RNA, 1300 nt
Filed under: Homo sapiens (human)
Lineage: Eukaryota; Metazoa; Chordata; Mammalia; Primates; Hominidae
Description: HSALNT0266679
Source: RNAcentral
GAGGGAAAGAACAUGCGUGCCAGAAGAGGUAGUACUUCCAAGGGUUAGGCCCUGGAAAAAGAGUAGUACCUGGAAGUCUUGAGCUCUGGACACCUGGAAGGGAUCCCCAUGGGCCAGGGCCCUGGCGCGGCUGGAGAGAAGCUUAAGGUCCUUCAGGUCAUGUCUUGCUGCCUCCAUCUCAACCCUGCACCCACAAUUUGACUCAUUCCUGGAGCCCGAAACCAUUCAUUCAUGCAACAGAGGUUUAUUGAGUACCUACUAUGAGCUAACACUGUCCCAAGCACUGGGACGCUGUAGUGAAGAGACAAAUCUUGCCCUCAUCAAGCUUUCAUCCCCUGCAUGUGUGUGAGCCACUGUAACUAUGUGUAUGAACAUGGCAGUGUCUAUGCCUAUGAGCAAGUGACUGGAGAAUCCACCCUUCCCACACCCCCUGGGACUGUGUGUUUGUGAGGGCAGAUGGGUGUGGGAGCAGGUGUGCCGUGGGUACAAGUUACCUCUUGAGGGGGCUGAACAUAACACCAGAAAGUUCCACGUCAGGCUCAUCAUCCAGGUCCUGCUCCAGCUCAAGCUCCAGCUCAUUCUCUUCAUCGUCCUGCUGGCCUAGACUUCGAGCUAGCCUGCGGCCUAGAGCCACUGCCCGCCGCUCCAGCUGGGCCUCCCCAGGCCUGAUAGGAAAGACCCUCAAGGGACAUGCCUGGAACCCAUCACCCAUCUCCAGGCAAUCCCUUGACUUCCUGGAGCCUUGGACUGACCCCUGACCCUUGAACUGAUCCCACUGAUCCUAGGACCAGUUAUUGACCUUGUGGCUGACUUCACUGAUCCCAGGACAGACUCUUAACCCUGGGACAUUUCUAAUUCCAGAACUGACCUCUGAUUCUAGGACUGACCUCUGACCCUGGAACUGAUUCAGUUCUGACCCAAGACCCUGGGGCUGCCCCCAUAUCACUGGCUCCUAACUCCAAGACUGACUCAGUGACUCCAGGUCAUCCCCACAUACUUACUCCAGUUCCUGGAAGCCCACAUUGGGGAUGAUUAACUCGAAGCUGGGGAAUAAUAAAUGAAAGGACUAAGAGGAACAUUCCUAACUACAGAGCGGCACCUGCUCAGCACACGUCCAAGGGUCACUGAAUCGGCAGAUCCAGAGUGGAACCGGGCACUACUUCUCCCUUUCCAGGGUCUGCCUGGGCUGGGACCACCAGGUCUUGCUUCAGUUGCUGAGGGGAUUACCUGUCCUGGAUGGGUGCCCCAAAGUCCUCCUCUGACCAGGCUCCAGUAGCGCCCUCUGGGGGCUGGUACUUCA